AACAGAUGGAAAAUUUGUCGGGAUUUUAAUUACUGUAGAAAAUUUCAGACAAUUUGGUUUAGUUUAAGCCCCUUAACUAUUCACGCAAAGUUACAAUUUUCCCGAAAAAUCAGCUAUUUGCAUGCGUAAUUAAUGCAUUUGCCUAAUUUGCAUAUGUCAGCAAUAUGCAAAUUAGGUAAAGGCAUUAAUUAAGCAUGCGAAAGGCUGACUUUUUAGAACAAAAUGAAUAGUUAAGGGGC
This is a non-coding RNA of Paramuricea clavata, 239 nucleotides long. The record is from the annotation of a GenBank genome assembly. Lineage: Eukaryota; Metazoa; Cnidaria; Anthozoa; Malacalcyonacea; Plexauridae.